Molecule: long non-coding RNA, 421 nt
Organism: Priapulus caudatus
Lineage: Eukaryota; Metazoa; Priapulida; Priapulimorpha; Priapulimorphida; Priapulidae
Exons: 3
Source: RefSeq, a predicted model, not a curated record
GGCAGCGUUCUGAAAUCUGUGUCUUGGCUAAAGCCCUAUUGCAACGGCGGAUUAACAAGGAACACAAAAACAACUCGAUACGUACGAAGAUGAAUUUGACACGGAGACAGCUAUUGGAUACGACGGUGACUUAGAAGCGUCAAUGGAUCAGGAAGAGCUGAUUUAUACGUUAGGUUUGCCUGAAGAGUUGUGUUUAACAGCCCUCGUCGAACACAGUCAUCACGCGAUGAGUGAAACACCCCGUGAGAAAUAAGACAGAAAGAGCGCGCGCGCGAGCAAGAAAGCGAGAAAGAGAAAAAGAGUGAGACAAUUAGAAAAAGAAAGGUCUUGCCCUGCAUGCCCCCAGUGUGACGUGACAGCGAAAUGCAAGAUGUGAACGCGUAACCGUCACGGGGAGGUCGAAAGCGUUGCCUGAUACUCA